CUGGAGUGGAUUAGUGGCGAACGGGUGAGUAACACGUGAGUAACCUGCCCUUGACUCUGGGAUAAGCCUUGGAAACGAGGUCUAAUACCGGAUAGGAGCACUCAUCGCAUGGUGGGUGUUGGAAAGAAUUUCGGUCAUGGAUGGACUCGCGGCCUAUCAGCUUGUUGGUGAGGUAAUGGCUCACCAAGGCGACGACGGGUAGCCGGCCUGAGAGGGUGACCGGCCACACUGGGACUGAGACACGGCCCAGACUCCUACGGGAGGCAGCAGUGGGGAAUAUUGCACAAUGGGCGAAAGCCUGAUGCAGCGACGCCGCGUGAGGGAUGACGGCCUUCGGGUUGUAAACCUCUUUCAGUAGGGAAGAAGCGAAAGUGACGGUACCUGCAGAAGAAGCACCGGCUAACUACGUGCCAGCAGCCGCGGUAAUACGUAGGGUGCGAGCGUUAUCCGGAAUUAUUGGGCGUAAAGAGCUCGUAGGCGGUUUGUCGCGUCUGCCGUGAAAGUCCGGGGCUUAACUCCGGAUCUGCGGUGGGUACGGGCAGACUAGAGUGC
Molecule: ribosomal RNA, 552 nt
Filed under: Micrococcus lylae
Lineage: Bacteria; Bacillati; Actinomycetota; Actinomycetes; Micrococcales; Micrococcaceae
Description: bacterial SSU rRNA
Rfam family: Bacterial small subunit ribosomal RNA
Source: RNAcentral